GACGAACGCUGGCGGCGUGCUUAACACAUGCAAGUCGAGCGGUAAGGCCCUUUCGGGGGUACGACGAGCGGCGAACGGGUGAGUAACACGUGGGUGACCUGCCUUUAGCUCUGGGAUAAGCCUGGGAAACUGGGUCUAAUACCGGAUAUGACCCUAUGGCGCAUGUUGUGGGGUGGAAAAGCCUUGUGCGGCUAGGGAUGGGCCCGCGGCCUAUCAGCUUGUUGGUGGGGUGAUGGCCUACCAAGGCGACGACGGGUAGCCGGCCUGAGAGGGCGACCGGCCACACUGGGACUGAGACACGGCCCAGACUCCUACGGGAGGCAGCAGUGGGGAAUCUUGCGCAAUGGGCGAAAGCCUGACGCAGCGACGCCGCGUGAGGGAUGACGGCCUCGGUUGUAACGU
Molecule: ribosomal RNA, 402 nt
Filed under: uncultured bacterium
Lineage: Bacteria
Description: bacterial SSU rRNA
Rfam family: Bacterial small subunit ribosomal RNA
Source: RNAcentral